RNAcentral lists this microRNA precursor (58 nucleotides) under Euprymna scolopes. RNAcentral's name for it is "Esc-Mir-12515_pre stem-loop". Lineage: Eukaryota; Metazoa; Mollusca; Cephalopoda; Sepiida; Sepiolidae. The record is from RNAcentral.
UAGAUUCGAGUCCGGGUCGGAGAUAAAAUCUAGACUCUGACCGGAAAUCGAACCUACA